UCGAGGAUCUUCGGCAAUGGGCGCAAGCCUGACCGAGCGACGCCGCGUGCGCGAUGAAGGCCUUCGGGUUGUAAAGCGCUGUCGAGGGGGAGGAAGCCGCAAGGUUGACCUAUCCCUGGAGGAAGCACGGGCUAAGUUCGUGCCAGCAGCCGCGGUAAGACGAACCGUGCGAACGUUGUUCGGAAUCACUGGGCUUAAAGGGCGCGUAGGCGGGUCAUCAAGUCCGGGGUGAAAUCUUUCGGCUUAACCGGAAAAUAGCCUUGGAUACUGGUGGUCUUGAGGGAGGCAGGGGCAGCGGGAACUUCCGGUGGAGCGGUGAAAUGCGUUGAUAUCGGAAGGAACGCCGGUGGCGAAAGCGCGCUGCUGGACCUCUUCUGACGCUGAGGCGCGAAAGCCAGGGGAGCAAACGGGAUUAGAUACCCGCGUAGUCC
Molecule: ribosomal RNA, 431 nt
Filed under: uncultured bacterium
Lineage: Bacteria
Description: bacterial SSU rRNA
Rfam family: Bacterial small subunit ribosomal RNA
Source: RNAcentral